AUGGAAGAAAGCUCCAUGAAAAGAGAAGCCAUGCCCCGACUCCUGGAUCUCAUCCCAGACGAGAAAGAAUGGAGUCUGAGAGGAGGAGCACCAGGGCAGGCAAGAUCGAAAAACACAGGCUUCGGGAGCGAAGAGGACGAGAAACUGGAGCUGAAGCUUGGCCUUCCAGGCCUCGUAGAGGAGGAGCCAGCGGCCAGCUCAAGGGAGAACAACAGGGUGCAUCAGGAGAGCCCGGCCCUCUCCCUCGGGUACCCCCCUAGACACUCCACGACCAUCACCACGACCACCACCGGAGCAAAGAGGGGAUUCCUGGACACGGUUGAGGCCAAAGCACAAGGUUAUGAGAAGGAGCAGAAGCAGCAGGCGAGGGCAGCAGCAUGUGGGAAGGAACUGGCAGUGGAGGAAAAUACAGCUACCGUCGGUGAGAGGAAGAAAGGGUGCUGUCCCCCACCACCACCACCACAUGCCCCUCCUGCUACACCUGCGCGCAACAUCGGCAACAGACCGCAGGCGCGGGGAAGAGGGGCUGCAGCUCCAGUGGUCGGCUGGCCUCCAAUCCGGUCAUUCAGGAGAAACCUUGCAAGCACUAGUGCAUCCAAACAGCCCCCUGAACCGCAAAUCGGUGAAGCCAAUGCCAAGGCCGUUCUUGACUGCAAGAAAAGCCCUCUUGUAAAAAUCAACAUGGAUGGGAUCCCCAUUGGAAGGAAAGUUGAUCUUGCAGCAUGUGACAGCUACGAGAGACUUUCAUUGGCUGUCAAAGAUCUCUUCCACGGGUUUCUUCAAGUGCAAAGGGACCCGUCUAAGGUUGAACGUACACAGCAAGGAGCAGAUGAAAAUAUAUUUUCGCGGUUGCUAGACGGGUCCGGUGAAUAUACUCUAGUUUACGAAGACAGUGAAGGAGACAGGAUGCUGGUUGGGGAUGUCCCUUGGAAUGUGUUUGUCUCGACCGCUAAAAGGCUGAGGGUUCUGAGAAGCUCAGAGCUUUCCCAUGGUCUGAUUGGAGCUACUCCUGAGAGAACAGCACAUGGCUGA
RNAcentral lists this ribosomal RNA (1032 nucleotides) under Triticum aestivum (bread wheat). RNAcentral's name for it is "partial small subunit ribosomal RNA". Lineage: Eukaryota; Viridiplantae; Streptophyta; Magnoliopsida; Poales; Poaceae. The record is from RNAcentral.